ACAUUCAAAAAAACUAACAUUCGAUAAAACUAACAUUCAACAAAACAACAUUCAACAAAACUAACAUGGAAGAACUAUUUGGAUGGAGGAGUUUGAUAUCUUUGAUCGCUCUGACCUGCAUUACUUUUAUCUUGCAACGAUCCACGAUCUUAAAGUUGUGGAGUUGUAUUUGAUUGAGAUAAUUGUUUUCUUCAAGUCUUCAAACAUGUCAAACAUUUCAUUAUAUUUCCUUUUUAAAACCCGAUUAUCCUAUAAAACAUUUAAGAUUCAUUGAUAUUUAUGUAUUAGUUGAAAAUUUUAUGUACUAUCAUACACAUACCUCUAGUAACAUCUCCUUUUGAUCGUUCAUUUUUUCUUUUUCUUUCUCAAUAGAUCUUGCAUUCAUUUCAAUUGAAAAUCUGAUAGAAGCAGUGCUCGACUCAGCAAAUGAUCCUCCACCAAGUCCAAUGUGUCUCCCUUUUUUUGCUUUGAAUAAAUUUUGAAAUGCAUUUUUGUUGAAUCACCUAAAAGCGAAAAAUAAUAUAUAAGAAAAUAAAACAUUUAAAUAAUUUGAAAUAGUAAAAUAAUUUAAAACAUACGUCUUCAUCCGUUGUUAGACGUAAUUUUUGAAUUUCAUCACUUUUGUAAUAUUCAGACAUGUUUCUCUAUAAAAUAAGUAAUAAGCUAUGAGUGGAUCGAUAAAAUACUAAUUAUAAAUAUUAUAAAAUAAACUAAGACUUACAACGACUUCGUUGUCAGUACCAGAAGAACGAAUCAAUGUAGAUGCCUCAAUGCCUUCGCGUUACAGAUUUUCUUUUAUUGCACUGAAAGGAAUUGACCAUGUUUUAUGAUUUAGUAUCUUCUUAGUCCGGUUUGUUUUGUUUAUUUUGGAUUUUCUCUGCGAAUUCAUAUACAAUGUUAUACAACUUACAAUAUAAAAUAGUAAAUAAUUGAAGUAUGGAUGUAUAAAAAACAAUACCUUAAAUUCUUCUGUAGUCCAUAAUUUUUCCACACACUUUUCGAAAGUGAAUCGAUCAAUGUAUGGAGGAAGACUAGCAUACAUCCUUUCAGUUGAUUCAUCAUCAACAAAUGGAUCAAAGUAUUUUUCCUUUAUAUAGUUUCGAUAACGUCUUCAAGUAUUGUUGAGUUUGAAUUUGAUGUAUUGAUGAGCAUUUGGGUAACCGUCUAAAUCAAAAUCAACCUAUAUAAUAAAAAUUGAAUCUAAAUCAGAAAAUAAAAAUAAACAUAUCUCAAUGUACUCGAAUUCUUGUCGAAAGCUCUGAGAUGUUUGUUUCGGCCAGUUCACAUUCAAUGGAAAAAUUGUAUGCAUUUUUGCGACUCUAUUGAUCAUAGCAUUAAAUUUCUUACGCAGACGUCCAGUUGGUUACAUGUGCGUUGGAUCCCAUUCUACUUUAAAUCUUUCACUUUGUUUGGGGUGAUCUUUCGGAUGAUCUAAGUUUCUACCUCUUCUAUUUGGUAGACUCAAUUCUGAAAUAAAAAAUAAUGAGUCAAUAAAUACACAUAAAUCAAUCAAUUAUAUAAUAUACACAUCGAUUAUAAUUAGUUAGUUACCAUCAUUAUCUCCGAGGUCGGAGUCGGAAUUAGAUUCACCCAUUGUUGUUGGUACUUGAGUAGUUGGAGUACUCGAACCUUGAGAAGUUGGAGUUGGAAUUUGAGUUGGAGUUGAAGUUGGAUUCGGAAUUGGAGUUGAAAUUUGAGUUGAAAUUGAAGUUGGAGUCGAAGUUGCAAUCGGAACAUGAGUAUUUGAAGUAGGUUCUUCAUGGUCGACAGAACUUCGUGUAAAUCGUCGUUUCUUACUAACCAAUAUUUUUUUGGGUGCCAUUUAUAAUCUGUGAAUACAACAAAAUAUUCAGCACUUAAAAUUAAUAAAAACAGAAAAAUAAAUAAAGUAAAAAAAUUACUCACAAAGAAUAUAUAAGAAAAAUAUAUUUCACUGCUAAAUAGUUAUUUGAAACAUUGAAAUAAAUUUAUUAAUGAAAGGAACAUCGAAGCAUUAUAAAAGGAACUCAUAAAAUCAAUUCAAUCAACUAUAUGAGAUCCAAAUGAAAAUGAAUAUUCUUGCUGGAAAAAUUUACCCUUUCUAAGAAAAUGAUUUCUUCUGAAAAUUUGGUGCGCCGGACGGCACUUCUGAGAUUGAGAUAAAGACCGAUUGAAGAAAGAAAAGAGUUAGUAAAUAGACAAAACAAUAUUGACUAGCAAAGCGAAAAUAUCACUUUCUGAAUUCUAAAAAAUAGAAACGACUAUGGGGGAAAUAGAUAUUGGGGGAAACACAACAGAAAUAGAUUGGCCGAAUUCUAUGAAAAUAAGGUUGAUUUAAGAAUCCAUGAUAAAAAAUAACAAAUAGACAACCGAAAACAACAAGAUAAAGCAUUUGAUUAAAAAAAGACAAUGAGGAAACAUACCCUUAAUCGCGGAUUUGGAGGUCUUGAAGUUUGAAAAUCUGGAAGUUUGAAAAUUUGAAACUAACCAUCAAUAAAUCUGAAAAAAAUAGAAUAUCUUCAUUUCAAAAUGAACCCAAAUUACUCUAUAUCGAUCAUGACAACCUGCUGAAAAAGGAAUCCAAUCAUGGCAAUAAAACAAAAACCCAAUAAUCAAUACCAUCAACAAAUCUGAAGGUCUGGAAAUCUGGAACUAACCAUGAACUAAGUUAGAUCUAAAUAGAUUGUCUUCAUUUCAAAAUAGACCCAAUUUAACUCUAUAUCGAUCAUGACGACCAUACAAAAAAAAUCAGUCAUGACAAUAAAUAAAUAAAACCCUGAUACAAAAACACAAUUAACAAUAUAAAACAGAAAAUUAAAACACAAACAAAUAAAUAAAUUUCUUGUACUCUGAUACAAAAACAGAUAAAUAAAAAUAAAGGAUAAUAAAACAAAAACAUAAACGAAAUAAAAAAAUCCAAACAGGAAUUUAAUAGGAAGAAAACGGAGAGAGAGCAAUGGUGGAAUAGAAGAUUGAACAAGUACAAAUCCAAACAGCACAGAACAAUACAGUUUUGUUCUGGACUACGAGGAGAUAGAAGAUAAAAAAAACAGAUAAGAAAUCUAAUCAUAACAUUUAAAAUAAAUUUUACAAAUUAUUUCAUUCAAAUUAUAAAUAGUAAUUUUACCUUGUUCUUGGAGAGCAGUGUCCUGAUUUUCUUCAGUAAUCAAGAACCAAUUAAUUUUUUUCAAUAAUAAAAAUGAAGAGCAGUGUCCUAAUUACAAAGAUCAAGAAAGAAAAAUAAGAAAUGAAACAUGAGGCAGAUACUUAGAUAAAUCAACUCUAAACCAAAACUAAACUAAACCAAAACUAAACCAAAGCAUACUAAUCAACCCUACAAAGAUUAAAAAAGAAAGUGACCCUACAGGCUACAUAGAAUACAAAAUACCAUCAUCCAUCUCUAUGAUUUCAAAAGAGAGUGGCAGAAUAAAUACCAUCAUCCAUCCAUCUCCAUAAUUACCAUCCAUCUCUUAUUACUUGAAAAUAAAUAAUAAGAACACAGAGUUCCAGAAUCACAGAUUUGUGGAUAAAAUUGAUUGAUAUUUAAUGGUUGUAAAUAUCAGAAAUUUUAAAUAAACUAAUGAUUGAAGAAAAAUAUAUUGGUUGGAUUUAGGAGGAUUUGAUUUCAAAACAAAAAGUAAAGCAGAAAGAAUAACAUUGGUAAAUAUCAAAAUUUGUUAUUUUCAAUCUACAUAUACAAUGAUCAAUUUUCUAAAUGAUGGUUCAUGGUUGCAAAAUGUAGGGAUCAAAUUAUUAGUAUGUAUUAAAUGUAAACACGUGCAGGUAACUGUUAGAAAGAAAGAAAAAUCCAAAUCGAUCAGCAUAUGAAAACACCCUAAAUACAAUCGACCAGCAUAUGAAAACAACCUAAAUACAAGUCUCGCUGUCACAGCUACCAGCGAGAUUCUUUGUGACGUUGAGAGGGUUCCUCAACGUUUGCUGGAGUUUAGGUGUUACCCCCACCCCCAUACCUCCUCCUCAACUAUUACAAGCUGUGUAAGGAACGGGGAAAUAAAAAAUUUUAAAUAAUUGUUAUUUUUAACAUAAUAUCCGUUACAAAUACUCUAAAAAUUCGUUACCAUAUAUAUGUCCGUCUUGAUAUCUAGUAUUUAUAACGGAAACUACAAAGUUAACGGAAAUUCCGUUACAAAUUUCAUUAACUUUGUUUAUUAGUAUUUGUAACGGAAAUUUCGUUAACUUUACUUCGUCCGAACUGCCUACUUUUUUUUGUAGUGCCCUGAGUCGGCGACUGGGUGCCCCAAUCGCCGACUCUUAAGUUUUGGGUAACUGUGAAGGUUGUUUUGAAAUUUUCCCACUUGAGUCGGCGACUCCCUCUGGGAAUCGUCGACUCCUAUUGUGAAACGUCGGAUGUUUCCGAAGAUCCUUAAAGAUAUUUGGAGAAUAUAUGCAAAUUUUCCAAUUAAGGAAAUAUACCUCUCAAAUUUUGCAAAAUAGUGGCCGGAAUCGACGAUUCAGCUUGGGAAUCGUCAACUCAAGCGUGAUUUCAGGGAUUUGGAGAUCGAUUUCCGAUUCUUUCCCUUGCAAUUUUCGGAUUUUCUAGGGGGUUUUUGCAAUUUUCUCAGGGGCUAUAAAUAGUGGUGAGCGCUUCAAGGCUCCCAAGGCCCCGAGCACUUUUGAGAGAGGCUCAAGCUCUCAAGUCGCACCUGAGCGGGCUGGUUUCGCACCUUAUACGAGUGGCAUGCCCCUUCCUGAUUUUAUGGCUGAUCCACAAGUCAGGUUGGAUGUCAUGUCCAUCUUAAUGGCGAAAUCCGGAAGAUGGGUUCGGAGUGAGCUCAUGACAGCUCUGAACGCUGUAAGUGCUUCUACUUUCCGAAAACAUUUUUUACUUAUUGUUUUUGUUUGUUUGCUAACUUGUUUUUUUUAAGUAGGCUUGCUACAUGGCCCAUGCUUGUUUUGGCAUGGAUUCGAUAAAUGACGUCCAGAAAAUUUAGGAUCGAUAUAAUGAGUUGGACGUCAAGUACAAGAAUAGCGAGAAGCAGCUGGGCAAGCUGGCCCAUGCCCAAAGAAAGUUUGAGAACCUUAGAAACAACGUCAUCCAGAAGAAGGAGAAGACGAUUGAGUCCCAGAAAAAGGAAAUCGACGAUUGAGUCCCAGAAGAAGGAAAUCGACGAUUAUGUUGCGCAGAUUUUGGGACUUCGUAAAGAACAGAAGAGUGCCUCUAAGGAAUUACAGAACAUGCGAGCUCGGGUAGAAACUGAGAUUGGAAAUGUGGUUUCCUCUGAAGCCACAAACGCGAACUUGAGGAACACUAACUCUAAGCUGGAGAGGAAGUGUGCUGAGCUGAAUGACCAACUCUCUCGCUCUAAGGAGGAGUUGGAAAAUGCGAAGAAGGAGAACUCCGUACUGAAGAAGGAGAACUCCGCACUUCUUGAUAAAGCUAAGGACCUGGAGUUGGACAAAAAGUAUCAAUCCGAUCAACUCCAAGAACUUAGCUUCUUUGGUACCUCCGUGUUCCCAUCACUAUCCGAAGACUUUAUUUCGGAUAUCAUGACGUGAGUAGAUGAGCAUCCCGAGGAAAAGGAGAAGAAUAAGGAUGCCCUAGACAAGCUAAAGAACGAAGAAGACUAGAUUUUUUUUAUUUCUUCUUAGCUUGUAACUUUUGACAUAUUUUUUUAUAUGUUUGUAAUCUUUUGGAACUCAAUAUCAAUUAUUUUGCUUUCUAAAUUAAUUGUUUGUUUAAUUUAUUUUUUGAAUUGUAACUAAGACCCGAAAUUAGAUUCACAAGUCGUAAUUUAGCCGGUCUGAACGUAAAUUAGACUCUCCUAACCCUAUCGCUAGCCGCUCUGGGCGUAGUCUUGGUCGUACGAAUCGUAGCUCAGUCUACGGCUAAACUCGCGAAAUAAAUUAAACUUUACAACUAAUCCAGACUCGCAAAUCUAAUUGACGUAGUGAGUUGGAGAUACAAAAAACUCUUGGGAAUUUUAGCUAAGACUUAGAAUUUUCUAGACUAAGUGACGUGAGCAUUUAGAACUUUUUUCGAUCCUAAGACUCUAGAUUCCUUACUAUGUAGUUCAACUCCGACCGAAGCUACGGAGCAACUUUUUACCCGCAUCAAGGUCGUAACGACGAGAUGGGGUUGAAUCAUUAAGGCUAUAGCGACAAAAUGAUUACUAAUCUAUUAAAGCCAUAGUGACAUAAUAGAUUCUGGUAAGUGUGGUGGGUACUUAGAACCUCUUGUGGUUGGGUUCACUUGUACCUAUCAACUACCUAGGACUCUACUUCUAGACCCUAAUGCGUGGUUGAACUCUGGCUGUAGCGACAGAGUAACUUUUUGGACCCACAUCUAGGCUGAAGUGACAAGAUUGGGUUGAAUCGUAAUGUGUCAAAACGAUUUUAAUCUAUUAAGGCCAUAGCUACAAAAUAGAUUUAUAAUGUGGGGUGCUAGUUAGAGUCGUAGGUAGAUGAUAAAUGUAAACUUUAUUAAAAUGUAAAUUACAAAGGUAAAAUCUGAUUUUUCUACUUUGCAAUUUGUACUAACAUAUAGACUAAGAGGCCCUAAGGAAUAAUGUGUUCAAUACUAAGCGUAGUAUUGCUGUAUGUUGUCCGUGUGCCAGAAGCAGGGACCUUUGGGUGACAACUUAUUUCUAUUCCUCUCAGUUAUGCGAGACUUUCAGUGGGUCUACCACCAAAUAGCAUAUUAAUGAUUUUCCGUGGGUGGUCCUCGCUAUUGUCGCUGUAUGGCGAAGGAGAGCGUGGACGUUUCCCCUUCGUGUCAGACUUGCAAUCGUCUCGACCUCGGGAUCCUCUGACAAAGUUGUCAAGUUCACCGUUCGAGAUCAAUUGCUCGACAUAAAGCGAGAACUCCUUGCAAUAGUCCGUCAGAUGGUCGUGGUCCUUGUGGAAUUUACAGAAUCUUCCACCUUUUUGACGGCUAUCCUUGGUUGCAGGGUCCAUAGAGCGAGGAGCGGGCAGAUCCACUAUGUUCUUCAGUUUCUCAAACAGCUCGCCUUUGCUGAUUGUUAGCGAGGUCCGAUCCUUCCAUUGUUGAGGUAGACCCCUUGGCGACUGUUUGGUGGAUGUUUGAUACACCUUGUUAUCGUGUUUGGGCUUCCAUUCCUUUCUAAAGGAAUCAGCCGCAUUGUCAGUGUAUCUGUUCGAGGAGUCAUUGUAGCUCUUCUUCUCGAACUUUUGUUUUUUGAAGCUAGUGUUCUCAAGUUCCACUAGCUUGUUUUCAUUCUGCUCUUCCACCUCAAUGAAUGAUUGAGAUCGUUGGAAGAAGUCGGGUAAGGUCUCCACUUUAUGGAGCGUAAGAUUCAGGGCCAAAGGGGAGUAGGGUACUAGCCCAUUCGUGUACCCCGCUAUGGCUAGACUUGGGAUUAAGUUGCUCACUUCUGUCAUCAUUGAAGUGAACUUAAUCGUGUAAUCCCUCAGAGACAGUUUGUUCUGUCGUAGUGCCAGCAGUGCAUUGACACUGUGUUUGAUCCUAAUCAUCCCCACACGUUGGACGAUGAAUUUGGACGAGAGGUCCGCGAAGUUGGAGAUUGAUCGUGUUGGCAAACCGGAAAACCACCGAUAGGCAUUACCCUUGAGAGUGCCGGGGAAUGCUCGACACAGCAGUGCGUUGUCAGUGGUUUGCGGUUCCAGAACAUUGAGGUUGAGGUUGAUGUGAUCUUUUGGAUCACUCGAACCAUCGUACGACUCUAUUCUGGGUACCCGCCAGGUUGGUGGAAAGGCCACCUUCAAAAGGUUCUCUUGGAAAGAAGCGCUUUUGACUCUUAGGAAUUCGAUCGGACCGUUGGCGACCAGAUUGUCGACCAGCUUCCGACGGAAGUCCUCCAUGAACCGUGUUGUAAGAGUCCUCUCAGUGCGACUCUUACUGGGUCCAGCCCUUGAUUUUUCUGGUUCUGGACCUUUCUUUUUCUCAACAGACGGAGAAUUGUGAGAGGCUGAUUCACCCGCUCUCUCGCGGGCGAUGGUCCUCUGACUCCUCUCUUUCUCGAGGUUGUUAACUCUUUGCUCCAUGUUCUCCAUGAAGUUAAUCAACCUCGCUUCUAGAGCGGGAGAGAUGGAUGUCCGAGGAGGCAAAUCAGUUUGAGCAUCCUCAAACCUUUCAGCUUUCCUGUUUCGCUGAGGAUGCUCAGUUUGUGCCCCAUCCGGUGCCACUGAGGAUUUUCCUUUGUUCCUUAGAUGGUAAUCGUGCUUUUGCCUUUCAGAAGUCAUAGAUGACAAAAGCGAAUUCCAACCGAAGCGUAGGUAUUGACCGAACUAACUCGAAAGAAAUCAAGUGGAAUCGACGACUCAGCAGGUGGAGUCGGCGACUAGCCUUAGGUUUGUUUUGACUUUCGAGCCGAGUCGCGGAUAACACUCUUAGCUAGCAGAAUAACCCGCAAUCGGCGACUCACUAGGUGGAGUCGGCGAUUGCCUGUGUGAAUCGGAGAUUCCUUGAUACAAAGUCAGCGAUUCACCCUAAGGGAAUCGAGCCGAACUUUGUGAAGAAAAAUUCGCGAUUACGACGGGAUAUCGUAGUUCGAUAGUCCCACAGACGGCGCCAGCUGAUGAAGCGCAAAAUCUGCUACCAGUAGGCUCGCGGGGUCGCGAGGAGGGCCGGAGGCUUUAAAAUCCACGACGCGUGCUCUACGUCAAAUACCUGCAGAAGUAGAGGAGAGUCGGCGACUCAGGUGUGGGAGUCGGCGACUCGGGCUCCUUGGUUCUCUGGUUGGAGUGUGGAGUCAAGUGGUUGGAGGGAUUACUUGAUGAAUGAGAGGACCCCCCAAGGACCCCUUUUAUAGGGUCUUUUGGGACGUUUCUCAUUCAUUACCCGUGGGGCCUACGCUAUUAUGGUUCCCCAUUAAGGGUGCCAUAAUGGCGUGGGUCAAGUCAAGUAACGGUUGGGAGUCGGCGACUCAGGGUGAAGCCAUCGAUUCCCCAUGAGCCAGGUUGGCAGUCUACCAGAACUGACCAACGAGGCCUAGAAUAGGCGGCUCACCUCUGGAGUUGGUGACUUGGUAGUCCCAGCCGUCGAUUCCCAGUGUUGACUUGAGUACUUGACGUAGACACUUGCCCGUAUCUCUGGAUUUCUCCGGGGUUCCGGCAUAAAGGGGCGGAACUCUAGUCCUUGUUGAAGGGCGUUGCUGGGAGUGACUGACGUAAUCAGGCAUGUCUCACCAGUACUCCCCCUGAAGAGAGCACAAGAAACAUGCGUGUACCGCCAGUUUUUAUUUAAACUUUUGCAGGUUGGACCUUCGACUUCUUUAAUACUCUUUGUACGAGUCUUGGUCAAUUUCCUGCAUAGUGAAAACUUAACAAUAAAUUAACUAAAAGUUUAUAAGUAAUUGAUUAUUCUAAUUAAGUCCUCUUUACAGAUUAUAAAACAUUCUGGACUCUGUUUCAAUUUGAUAAUUGAUUAAUUAGAAACAGAUUAUGACUCUGUUUAAUUACAGACCUAAUUAGAACCAGAACUAAUUCCUUUACUGUUUAGUUCUUUUCUCCCAGAUGCAUAUUCAAGGAUUGCGAUCCACUUCAACUACAAUUAGCACUGUUCUGAUGGCUUGCUCACGAUCAUCACAUAUGUAUAAUGGAAAAUUUGUUCAUGGAUAUAUACUUCGAAACAAGAUUGAACUUGAUAUCUUUGUUUACACUGCCCUUGCCGAUCUUUAUUUUAAAUGUGGGCAUAUUCUUUGUGCAGAAUCUAUCUUUCAUGGAAAUGCCAAAAGAUAAUGUUGUUUCAUGAAAUGUCAUGAUUUUUGGAUAUGUAUCAAAUGGUGUUUAUUUCAAUGCCAUUGAUAUCUUCUGGGCCUCUGGCACAUGAGAGAUAGUGGAGUACAACCUGACAUUAUUAGUUUUGCUAGUGUUCUAUCGGCUUUUUCUCAAUUGACAGCUUUAGAACAAGGUAGGGAAAUUCAUAGUUAUAUUUCAAACCACUAGCUUGAAUCAAGUGAAGUAAUCUUGGGAGCAUUACUUGACAUGUAUGCAAAAUGUGGUGCUGUUGAAGAAGCUCGCCAUGUUUUAUAUAGAUUGCCGGUACGAGAUGUAGUGUCUUGUAUGAAAGGAACAAUCUCAAAAGAUAUUUUAUUAAUGAAGCACUUCAAUCUAUUUAUACACAAUCAUACCUACAAUAAUCAUAACUGCAGUAACUAACAAUUUCACAACUGUUAUACAAUUAUAUUAUACAACUAUAACUAUUAAUCUCAUAUUCCUCAAGAUGAAGGUAGUAUUUCUGUACUGAAUCUUAGAUAUUUGUAAGCUACUUCAUGAAAUAACUUGUUUCACUUGCUCUAGAGUUGUAUACCACUUCAUGAUUAGCUGAUUAAUUGGAUUAAUAGUAGGAAUAAAAACACAGCUGGGAUACCUAUUGUUGCUCCUCUUUUCACUUUUUAUUCACUGGGAAACCCAUUCUAUCAAGCCAAUUAAACCCAUCACUACUCUCUACUAAUCCUGCUGCAGCUUUCCCUUUCAGCUUUUUAUUCAUGAUACUCUGCUCCUGCUGAAAAGAAAAGAAAAGAAAAGAAAAGAAAAGAAAAACACCACAGCACAACAUACCUGUUGGUGAGGUGGGCUCGUCGGUGCAAAAGCUCACAACCGCAACUCUCUAGAAUUGUCAACCCCCUCCCCUAGUGGACCAGGGGAGGUAUUUAUAGUAUUCUUUGCCAGCUCCUAAGCCUCGUGCGUUGGCUGGCCCACUUGUUGGCCCACAUCGUGUCCUUUACGCCGUCUACUUCACAAACCAGAUAUCUCUGGGAGGUUAACUAAAUGGGCAAUCGAGCUCAGUGAGUUCAACUUGGAUUUCCGACCAGCCACUGCCAUCAAGGGGCAAGCUGUGGCGGACUUCACUGUUGAACUCACACCACCCAAUUUGACCCAACCUUAGGUUGUAGAAGUAGCUAGACGGCUCGAGUUGUAGCACAGGCUCAGGUAUCGGAGUGAAAAUCCAUAGCCCGGAUGGAAAAAACUACGAACACUCGAUACGGCUUCACUUCCCGGCCUCUAACAACGUUGCGGAAUAUGAAGCAGCCAUACACGGCCUGAAGUUGUUAAGAACUCUCGACGCUGAGAAUGUCACACUCCGCACUGACUCCCAGCUCGUAGCUCGGCAAACCACUGGUGAAUUCGCUUGCAAGGAACCACAAAUAACUAAAUAUGUGGAGGCAAUGGUAGAACUCACCAAGCAGUUCGCUGAGUUCAGAAUCGACCAAAUCCCUCGAAUUCAAAAUUCCCCCGCCGACGCUUUGGCACGUUUAGCGUCGGCCUGGGAGGGAGGGCAGCGCGAGAUAUUAGUAGACUCCAUACUCCAGCCUACAUGCCAAGUAUUGACUGUUACCUCUGACCCUCAAGAUUGUUGGAGGCAACCGAUAUUGACAUUCAUUUAGAAUGGAGUACUUUCUGACAAUAAAGGGGAGGCCAAAAAGUUGAAACAUAAAGCGGAAAAGUACUGUGACGUCGGAGGAGUGCUUUACAAAAAGUCCUUCGAUAGCCCGCUGCUACGCUGUUUGGCCAAAUCAGAUAUAGAUAAGGUUAUUCAGGAAGUACACGAAGGCUCGUGCGGGCUCCAUGAGGGAGGAAGAGCACUGGCCUUCAAAAUCAUAAGGCUGAGAUAUUAUUGGCCCACUCUAAGGUUGAAAGCUCGCACUUACGUCCGCAAGUGCCGAGCAUGUCAGCUGCACAACCCCAUGCAGCAGAAACCAUCUGCGGACAUGACUCCGAUUCUGAGCUCGAUCCCGUUCGCAAGGUGGGGACUGGACAUCGUAGGACCAUUCCCCCCCUCAACAUCCCAGGCUCGGUUCAUCUUUGUAGCAGUAGAUUACUUUACAAAGUGGGUCAAGGCUCAGGCUGUAGCGAAAAUCACUCAGGAUGCGGCAGUCAAGUUCGUCUAUCGCUCCAUAGUCUGUCGAUUCGGAAUUCCCCAACACAUUAUCACGGACAAUGACACACAAUUCACAGGGGGGAAUUUUCAAGAAUGUGCGAGGACCUAAACAUAAAACUCCAUUUUGUCUCCGUUUACCGACCUCAGGCAAACGGGCAAGUGGAGGUCACUAACAAGGCUAUCGUACAAGGAUUAAAAAAGAAAAUCGAAUCAGCUAAAGGGACUUGGGCAGACAAGUUGUGCGAAAUCCUAUGGGCAUAUCGCACAAUGAGUAAAAACCCCACGGGAAACACCCCUUUUGCUAUGACCUAUGGAGUGGAAGCAGUCGUACCGAUCGAGAUGAGUAUACCAACAUAUCGAGUCUCGAAGUACGACGAAUAAACAAAUGACCAAAACCUAGAUACAGAGCUAGAGUUGAGGGAUGAAACCCGUGACGAGGCGGACCUGCGAAACGAAUCAUACAAGGCAAGCGUAUCAAGGUACCACAAUCGCCAAUUACGCAAAAAAGUCUUCCUGACAGGAACUCUCGUCACGUGGAAAGCUAGCAUAACAGAAAGGAAUAGACCAAGAAAUAAACUGUCAUCCAACUUCGAAGGUCCCUACAUCGUCGAAGAGGAGAUAAGGCCAGGAACUUAUCGCCUACGGCGACAGGAUGGAACAAUGGUUUCAAACACCUGGCACGCGGACAACAUGCAACAAUACUACGCAUGGUACUCAUCGCAUUACGUUUAUUUUCUUUAAUUUUCCUAGUAUGUAUGUUAGUCAAUCAUAGAAUUCUUUCUUCAUGUUAUAACCCGCAAGGAUACCCUAAAAAGUCUAUUUUGUCGCUUCGGCCUCAGUAGAUCAAGGAUCAUUCCGUCGCUACGGCCCCAAUCACUACAAAAAAAAGUUAGCAGUUAGGACGAGCAAAGUUAACGGAAUUUCCGUUACAAAUACUAUUUUUAACGGAAAUUCCGUUAACUUUGGUCCGAGACAAAAUUUCCGUUAAAAAUACCAAAAUCCGUUACAAAAAUCCGUUACAAAUACUCCGAAGUCAAAGUUAACGGAAAGAAAAAUCCGUUACAAAAUUUUUAGGUAUUUUUAACGGAAUUUCCGUUACAAAUAAGGAAAAAUAAUUUGUAACGGAAAUUCCGUUAAAAAUGAGGAAAAAAAAUUUGUAACGGAAAUUCCGUUAAAAAUGAGGAAAAAAAAUUUGUAACGGAAUUUCCGUUAAAAAUGAGGGGAAAAAAAAUUUCCAGAAUUCCAGUGCACUGGAAUUCUGGAAUUCUGGAAUUCCUGUAAAAUCAUUCCAAAUUCCUGUAAAUUCAUGCAAUUAAUAUUAAUUCCUGUAAAUUCAUUCAAUUAAUAUUAAUUCCUGUAAAUUCAUUCAAUAUUCAACAAAUAUUCAAUACAUAAACAAUAUUCAACAUUCAAGAAAAGUAACAUUCAACAAAUUAACAUUCAACAAAAACUAACAUUCAAAAAAACUAACAUUCGACAAAAAUAACAUGAAAGACCUAUUUCGAUGGAGGAGUUUGAUAUCUUUGAUUACUCUGAGCUGCAUUAAUACUUCUAUCUUGCAACGAUCCACGAUCUGAAGGUUGUGGAGUUGUAUUUGAUUGAGAUAAAACUGUUUUCUUCAGGUCUUCAAACAUAUCAAACAUUUCAUCAUAUUUCCUUUUUAAAAUUUGAUUAUCCUGUAAAACAUUUAAGAUUCAUUUAUAUUUAUGUAUUACUUUAAAAUUUUAUUGACUUUCAUACACAUACCUCCAUCAGCUUUUCCAUUCGAUCGUUCAUUUUUUCUUUUCCUUUUUCUUUUUCUUUGUCUUUCUCGAUAGAUCUUGCAUUCAUUUCAAUUGAAAAUCUGGUAGAAGCAGUGCUCGACUCAGCAAAUGAUCCUCCACCAAGUCUAAUGUGCCUCCCUUUUUUGCUUUGAAUAAACUUAGAAAUGCAUUUUUGUUGAAUCACCUACGUGCGAAAAAUAAUAUAUAAGAAAAUAAAACAUUUGAAUAAUUUGAAAUAGUAAAAUAAUUUAAAACAUACAUCUUCAUCCGUUGUUGGACGUAAUUCUUGAAUUUCAUCACUUUUGUAAUAUUCAGACAAGUUUCUCUAUAAAAUAAGUAAUAAGCUAUGAGUAGAUCAAUAAACUACUAUUUAUGAACAUUAUAAAAUAAACUAAAACUUACAACGACUUCGUUGUCAGUACCAGAAGAACGAAUCAAUACAUUGAUUCGUGAUGCCUCAAUGCCUUCGCUUUGCAGAUUUUCUCUUAUUGCACUGAAAGGAAUUGACCCUGUUUUAUGGUUUAGUAUCUUCUUACUCCGGUUUGUUUUGUUUAUUUUUUAUUUUCU
This 14130-nucleotide long non-coding RNA is filed under the name Zostera marina. Its description in RNAcentral is "long non-coding RNA (ZMAR_LNC002078)". Lineage: Eukaryota; Viridiplantae; Streptophyta; Magnoliopsida; Alismatales; Zosteraceae. The record is from RNAcentral.